CAUGUUACCCUUGGAUUGGUCACCUCAGGGGAGCAGUGGGUCACUGGGGCAUCUGGUUGUCAUUUCCUUCCAGAACAGCAUGAGGCAGGAGUUGCACAGCAAAGAGGAAAAGAAUUAUUGAUUGGCUUCCAAUCUACAUGUACAAUUAGGUCUACCAAAGCCAUUGCAAUAAGGCUGUCUUCAAAAAAUCAGAAACAUCUGGUUUCAACUGAGCUCAGGGACUAAUAAACUAAUAUUCAUCAUGAAAGGGGAAAAGCUUCAAUGAACUAGCCAGCCAGAGUGAGUGAGGUUGCUGGUGUUAAAGGGGCUGUGAGGCCCACUUCAAAAUCGUUUGGAGAAUGAGAUGCACAUGGAMCAGCUGAUGAACCACGGUAACCUUCUGCUAUGCCUGAGAUCAGGAUCUGAGGUUAAAGAGGAAGCAACAAGCUUGUUAUCCAUGUGGCGGAAUGCACCAGAUUAUUCCAUGGUUUUGGGGCGUAUCCUAAAACAAGAUUGAAGGCCAUCUUCUGCCCCUGCGGUGGCAGUGGGCAGUCGUGAGAAAAUGGACUUUUAAAAGUGAGGUAAAUGUUAACUUCAAAUAGGAUAAGCAUACAUUAUUAUCAAAGCAGGAAUUCUUAAAUUUCUUCACAGUGAGAAGGGGAAAAAAAACAAGUUUUCUUUUUUUUUCUGGCUUUACUUGCUCUCUUCUUGUCUUCUCCUCAACAUGACUUUGUUUUUCUUUUUUAUUAUGGCUUUAUUUUUCUGUGAGCUGUUGACAUCUGAAGCCAAACAUCCCCAUUGUGGAGAGAGGCUUCUUAGGUUUGACAUGAGGCCUCCUACUCUGUUGUUAUAUAAUCUAGUUUUGACACAGAAUUUACUUUUUACUUUCUGAACUAUGCUGUGUAUGACAUUUAUCUGAAGAAGAGUGAUUUUAAUUUUAGAAUCUGCACAUACUCUAUUUGCUUGCACAGGAGCUGUUAUUUUUCUUUAUAACUCUAAAUAUGAUGAGUUAUCCAUCUAGCAAAAUCAAGAGUCAUAUCCAUUUACAAGCUAAUUCAUACUUAGUAAGUGGCUCUUAAUCUAGAAAGAGCAAGGGGAGAAAAUAUUGCUCCCCUUUCCUUAUUGCUCCCCUUAAUAAAACGGCGUUUUGGUUCAAAACUGAAGUUGUGAGAAUCUCAGAGGCUUUCCUUUAAAGGUUUCAGAUUUCAAGAUAGUUUAAGAAUGAAAAGCUCAGCCUUUGACAAGGUUUCGAUCAGAUCAGACUUGAUUAAAGCCUCUGCAGGCCUACUCAUUUAACAAAGUCAUGACUAAAGAGCUCAUUUUUGACUUUUUACAGUUAUGUAACAGCUUAAUCUGAAAUUUAUAUCCUAACCUGCAGAAGCAGUUAGUGGACCUUAUCAUACACCUUGGUCAGCCACUGAACACUACAUCUAGACAUCUUCUAAGGGUUUUUGUGCUUUGAAAAGGAUGACUACAGUCAUUAAAGAGUGAGAUAGUUCUUGGUGAGACGGUAAAGGAUCAGUUGUUUGUUCAGUGUCCAUCAGCAUAACCCUUGAUGGCUGAAGUGUAGCCAGCGGUUACUGUCAGCAUUGUCAUGGCUGCUGUGUUUCAUGAAUAUAGAAUUAUAUAACUUUAUAUUAGAAGUUUUUCUUGAGGUCAUUGGGCAAAAUGACAAAAAUGGGCAUAUAUUUGCCUAAAAGAAGCCAUCCUGCCUACCAACUCACCAACAGGAUCAUAAGCCCUAGGUGCUUCUGAGAAGUAUGGGCAGCUCAGUAGCGAAAUCAUUCAGGAGAUUUUGAAGAUGAGGAUGGAAAUUUUAAAGCUGGCUGUGAAUUGCUGCCCCAGCUGCUUGCUGUAACUUGAUGAAGACCAUACAGCUUUGCUUAGCAAUAAUCAGGGGAAUAGCUACAUUUGUCAAAUGGGACACUUUUCAAAAAUUCUGCAGAUAUCCUCAAGUAUACUCUGUUGCAAUAAUCAGUGUGAGAAGUUUAAAASGACAUCGUACUUUGAUGUCCUUUUAAAGUCUAUAACUCUGCCCACAAUUGCACAAGUAGGUCCUUACAUAAUGAAAUAAUUAUCUUCAGUGGUCUUCAUUUAAUUCUCCAAUUACUGCAGUUUGUUAGCGAGGUAGGAGCCCCUUUUAUAACUGUGGCUUAAAAAUAAUAAAGUUUUCUUCCAAUUUGGGAGCUGAAGCAGACUAUGAGAAUGUAAUAUAUAGGUGCUGUGCUUUUUGACUCUUAAGAAGACAUCACUCAAUAUUAAUUUGACUAGAAGAUGUAGAUGUCUUC
Molecule: long non-coding RNA, 2267 nt
Organism: Nothoprocta perdicaria
Lineage: Eukaryota; Metazoa; Chordata; Aves; Tinamiformes; Tinamidae
Exons: 3
Source: RefSeq, a predicted model, not a curated record